GAUAGAUGGAUGGAUGGAUGGAUGGAUGGAUGGAUAGGGUAAAAGGCACAUCCAUACAGUCUGUUCUAACAGGUGAUGUUGUGGUGCAACAAUAACCUCCAUCAUGUCUGCAUGAGGACAGCAACACGAGCUUCCUCCAACUUUACUUCAAUGUUUAGUUCAAUAAAA
Long non-coding RNA from Sebastes umbrosus (honeycomb rockfish), 168 nucleotides. RefSeq lists it as uncharacterized. The transcript has 2 exons. The record is from RefSeq and is a predicted model, not a curated record. NCBI's taxonomy places the organism in Eukaryota, Metazoa, Chordata, Actinopteri, Perciformes, Sebastidae.